Oryctolagus cuniculus (rabbit) is the source of this 1195-nucleotide non-coding RNA. NCBI's taxonomy places the organism in Eukaryota, Metazoa, Chordata, Mammalia, Lagomorpha, Leporidae. The record is from RefSeq and is a predicted model, not a curated record.
ACCCGGGGGAGGGGUGAGGGGACGUCCACGGCUUCUCUCCCUUCCCUGCCAGCGCAGUUCUGGUUCUGGGGCGGGGGUCCUCCCUGCAGCCCCACGCUGAGACCACCCCCUCCCCGCACGCACUGGGCGUGCGGGCAAGGUCAGGAGGGCUUCUGUAGUUUUCCCCUUGGUCCCUGGGCCGUCCUAGGCCGGAAUUUCCAGGGGCCCACACCCAGAGGGAGGACCCUCCGCCCCGCCCCGCCCCGCCAUCGUUCGGCUGUGGUUUGGGAAGCGGGGAGAUGACUCAUUGUAAAGGAAGAGGAAACCCAGCGCUGCGCGAGAGGAAGUUCAGGCACCAGGCGUUCUCGGUAUUUGCAGGCCGGCUCCUCGCGGUAUCACUGCGCGCUGCUGUAGGGUUGUGGUGCUCACUGGAGCAAAGCCGCUGCGUGGCUGAGGUGUGAGUUGCGAGGUGUCUGGAUCCCUGCCUGAGAAAGUCUUGGACCAGGUUGUGGAGAGAGGGCUCCUCCAGCCUUGGGAUGAAAGCCCCAGGCUUGCUAUGACGUCCCCAGGGCAGGACCUGUGCUCAUUACUUAAGUUCUCUUGGAAGCUACCCUCCAUUUUUCUGUAGGUUUAUACUUUGUGAGCCUGCAAUUACUGGAACAGAAUACCGGCUCGGAGAAACAAAAAACCUGUUUCCUGCCAUCUGACUCCCCAAAUAAAUCCAUCAAUCCCAAACUUGAUUAGCUGGAAUUAUAGUUCCUUUUCUUUCAACUCACAGGGGCUCUGACACUCCUAGUAACAGCUGUGACAGUUAGGAACAGCAUGUGCUAUUCGCCAGACACUCAGCUCUGCUUGCAAAGUUCCUAAGGUGGAAGCCUGGGUGCUCCUGGAGCACCCACUGCUUAGGACAGAAAUUCCUAAGACUGUACCAUAGAUGGAGACUUUGAACAACCCUGGGGACUUCAGCAAAUGGAGACAAACAUGGCACCUGCUAAACACAUACUCAGACUAAACAUCUACUUUAAGGUUUAUCAACAUCUUAAGGGCAGGUUGCAACUAGCAAAUGCGUGGUUGGAGUUCUGUUUAAAUACCAGCAGGCCGUUUGCGGAGGAGACUGGCAAAGCUUACAUUCCUGGGAGAAAGUCCCCUCUGGAUGCAGCAAGCCAAACUGAAAUGUAAACAUUUUUGAAGUUUUUAAAUUUCUCAGAAACUUGUC